RNAcentral lists this ribosomal RNA (522 nucleotides) under uncultured bacterium. RNAcentral's name for it is "bacterial SSU rRNA". It matches the Rfam family "Bacterial small subunit ribosomal RNA", at positions 404 to 917 of the family's 1533-position model. The record is from RNAcentral.
GGUGAAGAAGCCCUUCGGGUUGUAAAGCCCUUUUGUUGGGAAAGAAAUCCAGCUGGCUAAUACCCGGUUGGGAUGACGGUACCCAAAGAAUAAGCACCGGCUAACUUCGUGCCAGCAGCCGCGGUAAUACGAAGGGUGCAAGCGUUACUCGGAAUUACUGGGCGUAAAGCGUGCGUAGGUGGUCGUUUAAGUCCGUUGUGAAAGCCCUGGGCUCAACCUGGGAACUGCAGUGGAUACUGGACGACUAGAGUGUGGUAGAGGGUAGCGGAAUUCCUGGUGUAGCAGUGAAAUGCGUAGAGAUCAGGAGGAACAUCCAUGGCGAAGGCAGCUACCUGGACCAACACUGACACUGAGGCACGAAAGCGUGGGGAGCAAACAGGAUUAGAUACCCUGGUAGUCCACGCCCUAAACGAUGCGAACUGGAUGUUGGGUGCAAUUUGGCACGCAGUAUCGAAGCUAACGCGUUAAGUUCGCCGCCUGGGGAGUACGGUCGCAAGACUGAAACUCAAAGGAAUUGACGGC